AUAAGAGGUUCUACCUGUUGUGGCUGAGGUUGUUAGUAGAGGUUAUAAGAGGUUCUACCUGUUGUGGCUGAGGUUGUUAUUAGAGGUUAUAAGAGGUUCUACCUGUUGUGGCUGAGGUUGUUGUUAGAGGUUAUAAGGCCUGUUAGUCACCUGUUAUAACAUAUUAUAAGGGGUUCUACCUGUUGUGGCUGAGGUUGUUGUUAGAGGUUAUAAGGCCUGUUAGUCACCUGUUAUAACAUAUUAUAAGUGGUUCUACCUGUUGUGGC
Long non-coding RNA from Oncorhynchus keta (chum salmon), 266 nucleotides. RefSeq lists it as uncharacterized. NCBI's taxonomy places the organism in Eukaryota, Metazoa, Chordata, Actinopteri, Salmoniformes, Salmonidae. The transcript has 3 exons. The record is from RefSeq and is a predicted model, not a curated record.